AGCCUCGCGCGCUGGAAGCUUGAGGAGAGAGAGGGCGAAGGCGGGACGGAGGUGCCUGUCGUCUGCCGCGCGCCGCGCCUCGGAAGGCCGGGGCCUCGCCUCUGAGGGGAGAGGACGGGCCGAAGCGCGGGGCUUUCGGGGGCGGCUAUGAGGGUAGGGGGUGGGACGCCUAGUCGGCGUCGCGGCUUCGAGGCCUGCUUCCCCUCAACCGGGAGAAGGGACGCGAGCCGCCGAGCUCAAGCUUCCAGACUCGGAUAAGAUCCUCCCCGCGUGUCGGUCGCGGUUCCUACACGUGAAGCCUUAGCGUGACUUUUUCUGCAUGUGGGAAACGUGCUGCACGCGUGCUCAGAGGGCUUCGUGCAGCAAGGAACCGCUUUCCAAUAUACAGGAGUCGUGCGGCCUGUGGGACCGCCCUUGGGCAUCCGUCAGUCAUCGCGGGACGGCUUGUACGUGUGAAAUGGGACACUGCAGAACAAACUCCGGAAAGGGGAGUUUUCACGUCGCUUGACACGCCAGCAGCUCCACGUUUGGCUUUGCUUUAAGCAACCAGCAAAGGAUUGGUUGUUGAACCUUCUUCAGGGUCCCAAUAUAUGGCACUCUUUCAGGGUUUCAGGCUUCCCUCAAGCCAAGCGUGCGCCUCCCUAUGCAGGGAAAUUGGCCUAUAAUGCAUUCAAAGCAUACUGUUUUGAAUUUCUAGCUAAGGCAUUGGACUUUUUCAUAUACUGGCGUAGCAUAUUCUGUAUCAGGGAUUGGGAACGUUUCAAGUUGGAGGGCCGUAUUCCCUUUGGUGUGGGGUGAGAGGCAGAAGUGGGCAGAGCGAUUAAUGUAUUUCUGUGCACACUUUUGUAUACCUCUUCUCUAGCCAAGCAGGCAGAAGGUGUCAAAAUUCAAAGACACAUCUCAGGCAGGCGAAAACACUUAAGGAAGGUGCAAAACAGAGCUGGUGAGGUCUGUGUGGCCUGGGGGUGUCACAUAUGUCUCCCAAGACUGAGGUUUCCCGUUCCAGUUCUACAAGCCAUGAAAUAUCAGAGCCAUUCACCCAACCACCCCAUGUGUAUAAUUUGUUGUGUGAUUGAUGCAUAUUCAUGUAUUGCAUCUGUUGCCUUUACAACCCAUGUGAAUAUACUCUUACAUGUCAUUAGAAAGGGCUAAAUGUAGGUGAGACAUACAUAUAUAUCCCUGGCUCACUGCCAUACACCACUGCAUCUAAAUAUCACAGUGACUACAGGUUAGUGUGUCAGAUUAAGCCCGGGGAGACCCAGGUUCAAAUCCACAUUUAGCUUAUUGUGUGGCUUUGAGCAAGUCACUGUCUCAGACGAUAGCUGAGGAUAAAAUUGUUGGUGUGCAGGAAGAUAACUGCACACACCAUCUUGAGCUUGAAGGAAAUGCAGGAUAGUUGAAUGUCAAGUUAAUUUUCUUUCUGUCUCAUUUUCCCAUUCUUAGAUUCAGUUCUCCGGAUUUUCACAUCAGUUUGCAAUGUUUUCUUUCAUUCUUAAAAAAACAAGUUCUCAUGAAAAUUUAGCAGCAGUUUCGUGCAAGUUCUUUCUAAAACACAAAUCUUGACAUGCACUUUGACCUUAUACACAUAUAUGGCAAAACAAUUUCCCCAUAUGCAAUGUAUUUUUGCACGCUAUUUUCACUAAUGCAUACAUUUUUAUCCACACAUGGAAUUUGCACCUGUUACUUGACUGGAAAGCUAUUUUUGUACAGCUUACUGCAUUGCAAAAUUUAUUAAAAGAGCAAAUUUUGAAGGAUGCAUGUGAUUUGGCUCAUGUAUUGUUUUGGAAAGUGUGAAUUGUUUCACCUUUAAAUGCAAGCUAAAUCAAAUUUCUCCCACAUACCUAGAAGCACAUAAGCAGGGCCAGCCCACCCAUGAGGUGGGAUGAAGUAGCUGCCUCAGGCAGCAGAAGCCCUUGAGGUGGCGCCCUGCUCUGGCAACUUGUUUGGCUUAUUCCUCCCUGCCCACCACAGAAAUAUAAGGGGCUUCUGGAGCUUGCUUAUGUCCAGGAAAGGCAAAGGGUUGCAACUAAGAAGGUGGGUGGGACUGAGCACGUGACGCCAUGAGCCACAUGGCAAUACUUCUAUUAGGACCACCCAUUAGUUAAAUAAGGUGGGUGUGGGGAUGUAAGAAAAAACUGAAUAGUGUAGUUGCUUCCCAAGUCUGCAACUUCUCACAAUAUAGAAGAUGUUUUGCAGGUACAACUGAGUUAGACUAUCAAGGUGCAAGACGUAAGGUGCAUCCAAUGCUAUCGGGACAAAAAAAAACAAGUCAAUGCUUCCCCAUGUUUGAGAAUAUAAAAUUCAAAAGUUAUUGGAGUCUGUCCAAACACACGACUGUCAGAACACACAUGACUUGACCCUAGGGAGAUGGAG
This is a non-coding RNA of Podarcis lilfordi (Lilford's wall lizard), 2373 nucleotides long. Lineage: Eukaryota; Metazoa; Chordata; Lepidosauria; Squamata; Lacertidae. The record is from the annotation of a GenBank genome assembly.